RNAcentral lists this transfer RNA (76 nucleotides) under Actinomycetota bacterium. RNAcentral describes it as "Actinobacteria bacterium (freshwater metagenome) tRNA-Ala". It matches the Rfam family "tRNA". From Rfam's summary of the family: Transfer RNA (tRNA) molecules are approximately 80 nucleotides in length. The record is from RNAcentral. Lineage: Bacteria; Bacillati; Actinomycetota.
GGGGCUGUAGCGCAGCUGGUAGCGCACCUCGUUCGCAACGAGGGGGUCAGGGGUUCGAGUCCCCUCAGCUCCACCU